Molecule: long non-coding RNA, 453 nt
Organism: Peromyscus eremicus (cactus mouse)
Lineage: Eukaryota; Metazoa; Chordata; Mammalia; Rodentia; Cricetidae
Exons: 2
Source: RefSeq, a predicted model, not a curated record
AGUUUCCGCGCAGGCGCACUCUCGUACUGUGGCCUGCCUUGGCUUGGGGAACUGAGUCCUCUUCGGAGCCGCUUCGUGGGACGCGGAGUCCCUGAUCCCACGUCCUUCUGCUUUCCGAGUGAGACAAGUACUACCAGUCUUAGAUGUCCUGGAGAAAUGGUACAGAAGACCAGAACUGGAAAACAUUUGGAGUCUUGCAAGUCCAGGGGAAUCAGUUCCCAGAAAAGAACCUUAAAAUGUCAUGAAAUCGUGCCUCUUGGUAAAUUCUCAAGCCACUCUGGUUUUGCCCUCUAGGCUGAAAUUUUUUAACUAGGACAAACACUCUGCCCUCAAUUAUAUAAUAACAGUCCAGGUAUUGAGGAAGACUCCAGAAUGUUUUUGUGGUGGAGAAUAACUGAAUUCACCAGAAUACAUAAACAAACCUAAUAUAUACAUUAAAUCUUGUAACAUUCA